GGGUUCACUUUAUAGCCAUCAGAUUCAUCCCAUGGUUGAACUGUUAUGCUACAAUCGGGUUGAAAUUACCCAUACCAAAAGAUGCAAUCCGAAAGUGCAAAGCACGCUCUCUCAUCCUGAUUGACCCUCUUUCCUCAAAAGCCACCCACUCUGCAAUAUGUUCUUCUUGUCUCUCUCGCUCUCACCAUCUCUGGUUUAAGGUUAUCAAAGAACCAAACUCCAUUUGGCAAAUAUCUUGCAACCAACACAAACAUAGAGGGUUUUGAGUCUUUUGUUAUUAUUGACACUUUAUCACCCCAAAAGAUUAUUUUUUGACGCCCAACUCCAGUUUGCCAGCCAUCUCCCUACUGUCCAAUCCAAUUCUCCACCCAUCCAUCGUCAUAACCCAGCUCUACUCAAAUUCGGAACCCUAGUUUGACCUAGCCAAGCCGCCGUAACUCACGACCUUCGUUGUCGACCUCCACUGCCAAACCACUAUCGUGACUCCAUAGCCAAUCCACAGUCGCGACCUCCGUCGUCGUUCUCCAAAGCGGGGCAUUCAUGGGCUCCAUUUUUGGCUACGGUCUUCUCUCUCUCUCUCCCUCUCCUUCUCUGCUUUUUUUAUUUAUUUUUAAUCACAGUUGGACCUAGAUUUUUGAGUUAUGGAAGAUUGUUGUCAUUGAGAACUAUCAUCAAUUUGGCGUGGGACAACAUUUCAUUCUGUCAUAGGAAGUGUGCUGUAAUUAUAUGGAAAAAAAACAUGUAACUGAGGAAUUAUAUAUUUUAGUCUUGUAAUUUAGUCCUCAUUCAAUGAAAUUGAGUUCAAUUUACUUGAGAAAUUUCA
Prunus persica (peach) is the source of this 823-nucleotide long non-coding RNA. RefSeq lists it as uncharacterized. The record is from RefSeq and is a predicted model, not a curated record. NCBI's taxonomy places the organism in Eukaryota, Viridiplantae, Streptophyta, Magnoliopsida, Rosales, Rosaceae. The transcript has 3 exons.